This 460-nucleotide ribosomal RNA is filed under the name uncultured bacterium. RNAcentral's name for it is "partial 16S ribosomal RNA". It matches the Rfam family "Bacterial small subunit ribosomal RNA", at positions 338 to 795 of the family's 1533-position model. The record is from RNAcentral.
CCUACGGUGCGCAGCAGUGAGGAAUAUUGGUCAAUGGGCGAAAGCCUGAACCAGCCAAGUCGCGUGAGGGAAGACGGUCCUACGGAUUGUAAACCUCUUUUGUCAGGGAGCAAGGAGCGCCACGAGUGGUGCGGCGAAAGUACCUGAAGAAAAAGCAUCGGCUAACUCCGUGCCAGCAGCCGCGGUAAUACGGAGGAUGCAAGCGUUAUCCGGAUUUAGUGGGUUUAAAGGGUGCGCAGGCGGAAGCGGCAAGUCAGCGGGAAAAUUGCGGGGCUCAACCACGCCGAGCCGUUGAAACUGCUCUUCUAGAGUAGUCGAGAAGUAUGCGGAAUGCGUGGUGUAGCGGUGAAAUGCGUAGAUAUAACGCAGAACUCCGAUUGCGAAGGCAGCAUACCGGCGCCCAACUGACGCUCAUGCACGAAAGCGUGGGUAUCGAACAGGAUUAGAUACCCCUGUAGUC